RNAcentral lists this ribosomal RNA (467 nucleotides) under uncultured bacterium. Its description in RNAcentral is "bacterial SSU rRNA". It matches the Rfam family "Bacterial small subunit ribosomal RNA", at positions 26 to 507 of the family's 1533-position model. The record is from RNAcentral.
AGGACGAACGCUGGCGGCGCGCCUAACACAUGCAAGUCGAACGAGCGAGAGAGAGCUUGCUUUCUCAAGCGAGUGGCGAACGGGUGAGUAACGCGUGAGGAACCUGCCUCAAAGAGGGGGACAACAGUUGGAAACGACUGCUAAUACCGCAUAAGCCCACAGCUCGGCAUCGAGCAGAGGGAAAAGGAGCAAUCCGCUUUGAGAUGGCCUCGCGUCCGAUUAGCCAGUUGCGGGGUAACGGCCCACCAAAGCGACGAUCAGUAGCCGGCCUGAGAGGGUGAACGGCCACAUUGGGACUGAGACACGGCCCAAACUCCUACGGGAGGCAGCAGUGGGGAAUAUUGCACAAUGGGGGAAACCCUGAUGCAGCGACGCCGCGUGAGUGAAGAAGUAUUUCGGUAUGUAAAGCUCUAUCAGCAGGGAAGAAAGUGACGGUACCUGAAUAAGAAGCCCCGGCUAACUACGUG